GACGAACGCUGGCGGCGUGCUUAACACAUGCAAGUCGAGCGGUAAGGCCCUUUCGGGGUACGACGAGCGGCGAACGGGUGAGUAACACGUGGGUGACCUGCCCUCCAGCUCUGGGAGUAAGCCUGGGAAACCGGGUCUAAUACUGGAUAUGACUCCAUGACGCAUGUUGUGGGGUGGAAAGCCUUGUGCGGCUGAGGAUGGGCCCGCGGCCUAUCAGCUUGUUGGUGGGGUGAUGGCCUACCAAGGCGACGACGGGUAGCCGGCCUGAGAGGGC
This 274-nucleotide ribosomal RNA is filed under the name uncultured bacterium. RNAcentral's name for it is "partial 16S ribosomal RNA". It matches the Rfam family "Bacterial small subunit ribosomal RNA", at positions 28 to 301 of the family's 1533-position model. The record is from RNAcentral.